Molecule: long non-coding RNA, 1462 nt
Organism: Cimex lectularius (bed bug)
Lineage: Eukaryota; Metazoa; Arthropoda; Insecta; Hemiptera; Cimicidae
Exons: 2
Source: RefSeq, a predicted model, not a curated record
UUAGGAGUUCUUUCAAGGAGGAAUCUAUGGGUGAGUCGGGAGUGGCCAAUUCGAAGCCGGGUUAGGAGGGUUUCUUCUUUUCGGGAGGGUCUGGAAGAGGAUUCCCAUUUCUUUACAUCUUUCUUUAUUGCGAGGAGCUUGUUUCCUGUGCAGGCACCCCAUUCACACUUCCAUGCCCCCCAGAUGAGCCGCCUAAUCUUUAAUAAUAUAGUUAACCCAAUUUUGCAAUUCAACAUAUGUUUUCAGUAGACAAAAAUCACUUUUCAAAUUGUUUUGAUCACAUCCGUCAGGAAGGCAAGCAGAAUUGGGAGAAAAGUUCUACGCAAAUGAGUAGUUUAAUAGUAGAAAAAUAAACUACUAGACUAGCGGAAGGUUUGGAUGGAAAGUGACUUCCAGACAUUUAACGCAGUUCCUUCACCAUCCAUUUAAGAAAACCAACUUAAUGAACACAUUUGUCACGCUUGAAUGUUUAUUCGUAGCCUGAUUAUGGUUUCUUCGUCGGGGCUUCGGUUGUUGUAGCAUUAUCGCAUGUAAACCAGUUUAACUCGUAUAUUACCUUUAAGGACGCACCGGUUGAAAUGAAGAACACAACAGAAACUAUGAUAAUUAUGACGCAUAUUUGGCGUCUGCUGAGAAACGGUACUACCACUUCUUCGGCGACAGGUGCCACCGCCGUCUCCUCUGGUACAUAUUUAGAUCCGUCGUACACCAUUUUCCAAGGGUAAUGGGUGUAAUAACCGUGUAACCCGUACGGAUAGGCACCGGGGGCUUGGAAGCCACUGGGCAUAUUAGGCGUUUCGGGGAUCAUUAUUGGCACUGGUACACUUGGAACUUAAAAAUUGUCAUAUGUAUUGAAGAGCGAAAAACAAAUAACUAAUGAUUCCACAAGCCAUCGGAUAUAGGAUAUGUUUACGGUUAUUUUGUCAUCGUCGUCGCCUGCCCAGCUUCGUUUCUACACUUUAACCAGUUGUAAUUCCAUAGGAUGAAAAUGGCGGAAAAAAAUCCUGCGAGCAUUGCGAUGAAAGCAAGGGUGAAUAUGAUUAGCGCAAUUCGUAAAGCAUUGGACUUAGCAUACAUUUCUUGGACUUCGUCAUCGUCUGGCGAUGGCUCUCGUGCGAUCACUGGAAUCUCUUGUCUCAGUGGGAUGUUUCGGUUCCACAACCUCCCCCAUGGAUACUUGGCGAGAUUUUUCCAUUCGUAUUCAGUAAAAUAACCGUACGGUCCGUAAGGAUAGAGCCCGGGCAAAUAAUGAUUAGUCGGACUUAACGGAUGGGACAUUGCGUCAAAUUUGCAUUUAUUUCUAAAUAUUUAUACAAAAAACAAAACAAAAUUACAUAUGUCAAGAUUCGAAUGAUCGUUUCCGGCCUUGUUUCAGGGAGAACUCAAGGCGUAUAAAGCUACAACUCCGAUUAUUACGAUUAUAGCAAUCAGGACAAUAAUAAUAAUAAUAUAUUUCUUUGAA